UACGAAGGGGGCUAGCGUUGUUCGGAAUCACUGGGCGUAAAGCGCACGCAGGCGGAUCGUUAAGUCAGGGGUGAAAUCCCGAGGCUCAACCUCGGAACUGCCUCUGAUACUGGCGAUCUUCGAGUCCGGGAGAGGUGAGUGGAACUCCGAGUGUAGAGGUGAAAUUCGUAGAUAUUCGGAAGAACACCAGUGGCGAAGGCGGCUCACUGGCCCGGUAUUGACGCUGAGGUGCGAAAGCGUGGGGAGCAAACAGG
This 254-nucleotide ribosomal RNA is filed under the name uncultured bacterium. Its description in RNAcentral is "partial 16S ribosomal RNA". It matches the Rfam family "Bacterial small subunit ribosomal RNA", at positions 524 to 776 of the family's 1533-position model. The record is from RNAcentral.